RNAcentral lists this long non-coding RNA (795 nucleotides) under Coffea arabica (coffee). RNAcentral's name for it is "long non-coding RNA (CARA_LNC006574)". Lineage: Eukaryota; Viridiplantae; Streptophyta; Magnoliopsida; Gentianales; Rubiaceae. The record is from RNAcentral.
UUUUUUUAAAUAUGAAAACGGAGUCGCCACUUGGUAUAGAUUUGGGGUGUACCAAGUCACCCAAAAAGUGUUUUUUUAAAGACAAAGUAGUAAAACCCUUUUUAAAACGACUCCUAGUCCACGUAAGCCAAAGAAAAAGGUUCGGGGGUCACGUUUGACAAAGGGGAAGGCAAGGAUAAAAAUCCAAGGCACCCCUUUGACCUAGCCAAGGCUAGUUGCGCGACUUAACCUUACCUUUCCUAAUUUUCUACCCAAUAUAUGUUCGCACGUUGGAUAUGACUAUAUGAAUGCAAAACGGAAAGAAAAAUGCAAUCCUAAAUUCUACGAUGUCUCUCGUGAGGCUUUUGGUCCCAAACCACAUGAAUUGUGGCGGCCAACAAAGGAAAACCCCAUAGAGGUCGAUUAAUGCAAAUGAGACUCAAAUGUGCAAGUGUGGAAGUGUAUGAAAGAAAUUAAAAAUCCAAGUGUUUGUUUGCAAGUGUAUGGAAAGGUGCACGUGUGCAAUUGUAUGAAAAUUCCAAGUGUUUGUGUGCAAGUGUAUGAAAUAUAGUGAGAAGUGCGUAUAGGUGUAAUUAAAUGCAAUUUUGUGAAGUAGAAAUCAAAAUGAACAAUAAGGAAAGGAAAAUGUGAAUUGAAAAGAAUGAGUGAGUGAUAAAUGAGAAUGAACGAACCUAAGGGAAUGCAUCAGGUCGGGUGUGGGAAUGACUCCUAACUUUUUCGACUUCGAUUUUCCCUUUGAUUAGAAGGCAAAACUAGCGUGCUAAGGCUAUCGAGUAGCCACACUCGCUCGUUUCC